AUGUCGUUCCACCGCGGCAGCAGCUCCGGCACCGGCGGCGACGACGGACCCAGCGCGUGGCCGUCGAGCCUGAGCACGCCGGAGACGGAGGAGCUUUACCGGUUCGGGCUCCGCGUGCCACCGGGUUGCCGUCUUCUGCACGACUGGAAGCUCGACAAGGACGGCUACCCGACGCGCGGGCCCGGCGCCACGGCGGAGGAGAAGCGGACCGGCGGCCGCAACAACAUCACCGGCCGUCACGCGUUCUGGGACGACAAAGACUACGCCGUCCUCAUCGGCGCGUAUCGGCUGGCGGCAUCCGGCGUCACGCCUGACCUCAUCGGCGACCGUCGCCGCCUUCUUAUCCCGCGCCCCCGUCCAGCAGCGCGCGGCCGUCGGGCUCCUCCACCACCUGCGCCGGCGCCCGCCGAUCCCCCCACCCCGCCGGAGGUGGAACUGCCGCCGGAGCAGUUGGUUCUUCGGGAGGACGGCGAUCCCGACGACACGCCGGGUUACCUCGUCGCCCUGCGCGCGUCGGCGGCUGCAGCGGCGGCUGCAGAGGCGGCGGCGGCUGCAAGGGAGGCCGCCGAGCAGGCGGCAGCGAUCCAGGCGGCGGCGGCGAUUCCGCCAGUGGUCCCGCAGGCGGCGGCGGAGGCGCCGGAGUCGUCGGAUGACGACGUCAUCGACUGGGAGCGGUUAGCCCAGGUCAGCGACGACGAUGACGACAACGGCGCGGGUGACGGCGGUGAUGUUGGGGAGGUCAUUGAUCUGUUGGCUAGCGAGGAGGAGGAGGAGUAG
RNAcentral lists this ribosomal RNA (777 nucleotides) under Triticum aestivum (bread wheat). Its description in RNAcentral is "partial small subunit ribosomal RNA". The record is from RNAcentral. Lineage: Eukaryota; Viridiplantae; Streptophyta; Magnoliopsida; Poales; Poaceae.